This 1350-nucleotide ribosomal RNA is filed under the name metagenome. RNAcentral's name for it is "bacterial LSU rRNA". It matches the Rfam family "Bacterial large subunit ribosomal RNA", at positions 1564 to 2925 of the family's 2925-position model. The record is from RNAcentral.
UGAGUACGAGCUGCUACGGCAGCGAAGUGGGUGACGUCAAGCUUCCAAGAAAAGCCCUAUACCCGUUAAGGCAUGAUGGCCUGUACCCGAAACCGACACAGGUGGGGUGGUAGAGAAUACCGAGGGGCGCGAGAUAACUCUCUCUAAGGAACUCGGCAAAAUGGCCCCGUAACUUCGGGAGAAGGGGUGCCACCGCAAGGUGGUCGCAGUGAAGAGGCCCAGGCGACUGUUUACCAAAAACACAGGUCUCCGCUAAGUCGCAAGACGAUGUAUGGGGGCUGACGCCUGCCCAGUGCCGGAAGGUUAAGGAAGCUGGUCAGCGUAAGCGAAGCUAGCGACUGAAGCCCCGGUGAACGGCGGCCGUAACAAUAACGGUCCUAAGGUAGCGAAAUUCCUUGUCGGGUAAGUUCCGACCCGCACGAAAGGCGUAACGAUCUGGGCGCUGUCUCGGAGAGAGGCUCGGCGAAAUAGAAUUGUCUGUGAAGAUGCGGACUACGUGCACCCGGACAGAAAGACCCUAUGAAGCUUUACUGUAGCUUGGUAUUGUGCUCGGGCUCGGAAUGCGCAGGAUAGGUGGGAGGCUAUGAACCAUUGCUUGUGGGUGAUGGUGAGCCACUGGUGAGAUACCACUCUUUCCGAGCUAGAGUUCUAACAGCCACCCGUUAUCCGGGGGCUGGACAGUAUCAGGUGGGCAGUUUGACUGGGGCGGUCGCCUCCUAAAAGGUAACGGAGGCGCGCAAAGGUUUGCUCAGGCUGGUUGGAAAUCAGCCGACGAGUGUAAAAGCAGAAGCAAGCUUGACUGUGAGACCUACAAGUCGAACAGGGAGGAAACUCGGCUUUAGUGAUCCGACGGUUCUGCGUGGAAGGGCCGUCGCUCAACGGAUAAAAGUUACUCUAAGGAUAACAGGCUGAUCUCCCCCAAGAGUUCACAUCGACGGGGAGGUUUGGCACCUCGAUGUCGGCUCAUCGCAGCCUGGGGCUGAAGUCGGUCCCAAGGGUUGGGCUGUUCGCCCAUUAAAGCGGUACGCGAGCUGGGUUCAGAACGUCGUGAGACAGUUCGGUCCAUAUCCGGUGCAUGCGCAGGAAUAUUGAGAGGAUUUCUCCCUAGUACGAGAGGACCGGGAGGAACGCACCUCUGGUGUACCAGUUAUCGUGCCAACGGUAAACGCUGGGUAGCCAUGUGCGGAGAGGAUAACCGCUGAAAGCAUCUAAGUGGGAAGCCCACCUCAAGAUGAGUAUUCCCAUGGGUUAACCCAGUAAGGUCACGGGAAGAACACCCGUUGAUAGGCUCUACGUGGAAGCGCAGUAAUGUGUGAAGCGGAGGAGUACUAAUAGACCGAGGGCUUGACC